AGAUGCUUUCUUGUCUCUACCAUC
This 24-nucleotide non-coding RNA is filed under the name Arabidopsis thaliana (thale cress). The record is from RNAcentral. Lineage: Eukaryota; Viridiplantae; Streptophyta; Magnoliopsida; Brassicales; Brassicaceae.